RNAcentral lists this long non-coding RNA (549 nucleotides) under Vigna radiata. Its description in RNAcentral is "long non-coding RNA (VRAD_LNC002557)". Lineage: Eukaryota; Viridiplantae; Streptophyta; Magnoliopsida; Fabales; Fabaceae. The record is from RNAcentral.
ACGACGUCAAUGAGCGUUCAUGUGGUGUACAAUAUACAUGGCGACAUCGAUGAUUUUAUUACAUGGAGUUGGGGUUUAGUCUACGCCUCAUCGCAAUAGUAAGACGAAUAACACGAGCAAUGAACUUCCUUCGAUAAGCCAUGCUAUCUCUCUCAAAUCUGCAAGUCAAACCAGAAGUUCAUCGUCACCCUGAGCCCUCCAUGGUCGUAACCUAUCAGCACCUCCAUUGUCCUGACUUUAAUAACCAUCACCAACUACCAAUAAGAGUCCAAAAUCCCGAAGAACAAAAACAAAAAAAAAAUAUCCCAAAAUAGGAUGCUAACCCCGAGCCAUAAGCGCGAACAGAAAAAAAUCCCAAAAUGUAAGAUCAUUAACACUAAUCUACAAAGAACAAAACAAGAACCCAAUUCCAAUUCAUAAACGAAAAACCUCAACCCAUAGAGAAGAAUAAGAAAAUCCUUCCCCAAGUUGCGAUGCACCACUGUGAGUCCCAUGGCCACGAAGACGAAGGUCAUGCCUGCGCUGUCGAAAAACGCCUCUCCUUUCUCG